Molecule: long non-coding RNA, 255 nt
Filed under: Dunaliella salina
Lineage: Eukaryota; Viridiplantae; Chlorophyta; Chlorophyceae; Chlamydomonadales; Dunaliellaceae
Description: long non-coding RNA (DSAL_LNC000332)
Source: RNAcentral
GGGAUGUGUGCAAUGAAAGAGAACAUGCUGUUCAUCCUGGACAUUAUCAUCAGCCUCACAAAGGUCACAGUUUGAGGAAGACCUGUGAUUCCAAGUUGCUGUCUCAUAGCGAAGGGUGUGAACACGAAGUCUAAAUCGAGCCACGUUGCGAAUGACAUCAUGGGGGAGGUCAAGGAACAUGUAUUUGGGGAGACUGUAGGAAGAAUGCCCAACCAAGGCCCUAUUCGUAGGAGGAGCGCACCACUGGUGAUAGGU